AGGGACCAGCCUGAGAGAAGAGCUACCAUAUUGGCAGAAGUAAUUGACCCUGAUCAGCAGGAGAAGGCAUUUCCCCUAGUUUCUUGCAAGUCUAGUCUGAUCUUGGUGUCUACUUCUUGGACCUGAACUGACACAGAACCUUGUGACAUGGGCAGCAGUACCACAGAUGUUUGUAUUUGUCUUCUGGGAAG
Long non-coding RNA from Eubalaena glacialis (North Atlantic right whale), 191 nucleotides. RefSeq lists it as uncharacterized. NCBI's taxonomy places the organism in Eukaryota, Metazoa, Chordata, Mammalia, Artiodactyla, Balaenidae. The transcript is spliced from 3 exons. The record is from RefSeq and is a predicted model, not a curated record.